This 1330-nucleotide ribosomal RNA is filed under the name metagenome. RNAcentral describes it as "bacterial SSU rRNA". It matches the Rfam family "Eukaryotic small subunit ribosomal RNA", at positions 490 to 1723 of the family's 1831-position model. The record is from RNAcentral.
GGAAAGUACUCUUCGGAGUUCGAAAUGGUCGCACCUUAAAACAGUGCGAGAGUAUCCAGUGGAGGACAAGUCAGGUGCCAGCACCCGCGGUAAUUCCUGCUCCACAAGCAUACACUAACGUUGCUGUAGUUAAAACGUUCGUAGUCUAUGUAAGUGUUUCUCGGUGGGGAUCGGGCUUAGUCAACCUUGGAUUAUGACGGGGAUCCGCUAAAUCUGAGGGACCCCGGGCAACUUCGGUUCCCGGCGGUCAGACUUUGCCUCUUGGUGAGCUACGCCGCACUCUCCCUUCUGGGUUUGCGCGGUAAUCAUGGUCCUCACUAGGGAAUACGUUCCACAACUGUGAAUAAAUCAGCGUGUUCAAAGCAAGCCAUCGGGAGGCUUCGGCCUCCUUUAUGCUUGAAUGUCCUAGCAUGGAAUUGUAACAAUUUGACCCUCGUGGUCAAUAAUAUGCAACAGGAAACGGACCGAGGACGCAAGUAUUUUGGCCCUAGGGGUGAAAUCCGAAAAAUGCCAAAAGACCACCAGACGCGAAGGCGGUGUCGUCCAGGGCGUUUCCGUUGAUCAAGAACGAGAGUCAAGGGAUCGAAGAUGAUUAGAUACCGUCGUAGUCUUGACCGUAAACGAUACUAUCAAGAAUUUGGGGACAUGAAACCAUUACUGAUCUCCUCAGGAUCUAAGGGAAACCGAAAGUUUUCGAGUUCUGGGGGAAGUAUGGUCGCAAGGCUGAAACUUAAAGGAAUUGACGGAAAGGCACCACCAGGCGUGGAGUCUGCGGCUUAAUUCGACCCAACACGGGAAAACUCACGAAGGCAAGAUGUAGAUAGGAUUGACAAGUUAAAGACUUUUCUUGAUUCUACAAGUGGUGGUGCAUGGCCGUUCUUAGUUCGUGGAUUAAUUUGUCUGGUUAAUUCCGAUAACGAACGAGACCCUGGCCGUUAAUUAGGUGGUCAUUUUCUUCGGAAAGUGUAUCUCGGAGUUGCAUUCUAUGCAAUCUCCUUUUACUUCUUAGCGGGACUGUCCCUGUUAAAAGGGAAGGAAGUUCGGGCAAUAACAGGUCUGUGAUGCCCUUAGAUGGCUUCGGCAGCACGCGUACUACAAUGUUAGUACCAGCGAGUGUAUGGGUUAUUAUAACUCUGCUAUUCCCAAGGGAAUGGCUAAUCUUUUAAAAUACUGACGUGACAGGGAUUGGCAAUUGGAAGUGUGCCAUGAACGAGGAAUGCCUCGUAAUCGCAAGUCAUCAACUUGCAAUGAUUACGUCCCUGCCUUUUGUACACACCGCCCGUCGCUCCUACCGAUUGGGGAAAGCAGUGAAAUGGAUGGAUCAGGGAAU